RNAcentral lists this ribosomal RNA (253 nucleotides) under uncultured bacterium. RNAcentral describes it as "partial 16S ribosomal RNA". It matches the Rfam family "Bacterial small subunit ribosomal RNA", at positions 524 to 776 of the family's 1533-position model. The record is from RNAcentral.
UACAGAGGUCCCAAGCGUUGUUCGGAUUCACUGGGCGUAAAGGGUGCGUAGGUGGCCAGGUAAGUUUGGUGUGAAAGCUCGGAGCUUAACUCCGAAAAGUCAUUGAAUACUAUCUGGCUGGAGGGUCGGAGGGGAGACUGGAAUUCUCGGUGUAGCAGUGAAAUGCGUAGAUAUCGAGAGGAACACCAGUGGCGAAGGCGAGUCUCUGGACGACUCCUGACACUGAGGCACGAAAGCGAGGGGAGCAAACAGG